Molecule: transfer RNA, 57 nt
Filed under: Macracanthorhynchus hirudinaceus (giant thorny-headed worm)
Lineage: Eukaryota; Metazoa; Acanthocephala; Archiacanthocephala; Oligacanthorhynchida; Oligacanthorhynchidae
Description: transfer RNA-Ser
Source: RNAcentral
GUAACAAAGCCAGAUUUGGGUUUGAUUUGAAGUCAUAUAAUGCUUAUGCUUGUUAUG